GACGAACGCUGGCGGCGUGCUUAACACAUGCAAGUCGAACGGAAAGGCCCUGCUUUUGUGGGGUGCUCGAGUGGCGAACGGGUGAGUAACACGUGAGUAACCUGCCCUUGACUUUGGGAUAACUUCAGGAAACUGGGGCUAAUACCGGAUAGGAGCUCCUGCUGCAUGGUGGGGGUUGGAAAGUUUCGGCGGUUGGGGAUGGACUCGCGGCUUAUCAGCUUGUUGGUGGGGUAGUGGCUUACCAAGGCUUUGACGGGUAGCCGGCCUGAGAGGGUGACCGGCCACAUUGGGACUGAGAUACGGCCCAGACUCCUACGGGGGGCAGCAGUGGGGAAUAUUGCACAAUGGGCGGAAGCCUGAUGCAGCAGCGCCGCGUGCGGGAUGACGGCCUUCGGGUUGUAAACCGCUUUCGCCUGUGACGAAGCGUGAGUGACGGUAAUGGGUAAAGAAGCACCGGCUAACUAC
Molecule: ribosomal RNA, 465 nt
Filed under: uncultured bacterium
Lineage: Bacteria
Description: partial 16S ribosomal RNA
Rfam family: Bacterial small subunit ribosomal RNA
Source: RNAcentral